This is a long non-coding RNA of Orbicella faveolata, 1230 nucleotides long. NCBI's taxonomy places the organism in Eukaryota, Metazoa, Cnidaria, Anthozoa, Scleractinia, Merulinidae. The record is from RefSeq and is a predicted model, not a curated record.
UGAACCUGAAGAGAGGAGUUCACCUGAGCAAACGUGAAGUUUACCCUGAUAAAGCUCAGCCAUGGAAAGAUUUUGUCCUAUUCUGUGCGUUUAAUAGUUUUGUUUUUUUCAAAGAUUGCUAAAAAGAAGGCGCUAUUCAGGAAUUCUAGGGUAAGGUUGGCGAGUUGAGUUGAAAAAUGCGAAUGAAUGCUAAUUCAGUUUUGUUUCAGGAGACGUGACGAAGAUUAUUCAUAUAUUCUGGGACCUAAUACGGUUUACCGCACUUCCUACAGAACAAAAGAAGUAUCCUUGAAAGUUCAGUCGGAAGGCCUUCAUCUGAUGCAAACGCAAGUCACGAGAUCAGAAUGUCAACCACAGUCCUUGUAGUUCAUCUCUUCGCAUGUUUGAUGAAGAUAACAGUUGUUUCGAUUGAGGCCUGCCGGUCAGUCAGGUCAGUUUCUGACUUUGCCCUCUUCAGACACACCUACAGGCAGAUAUCCGGGACACGCUUUGAAUCUUGCGCCGCGACUUGUGACGCUGACCCACUCUGUUACAGCUUCAACUACUUCGCUCCCACCAUGACCUGCGAACUUAAUAACUCGUCACGACGUGCAGAUUCAGGGAACUUUCUGCGCAGGUCUGGGUCUGUUUACUUGGACAAACUGAAAGAACCCGCGGACUAUUGUGUAUCAUUUCCUUGUAGAAAUAACGGAACUUGCAAGGCAGUAAGGCGCCAUCCUGGGUUUGAAUGUUUCUGUCACGAUGAAUUCACUGGAGCAAAGUGUGAAAGUAAGAAAAUACGCUUAAUGUACCCUUGCAAGUGCGAGCCGAAUUAUCGGUGUCCGCUUAUAUAAGGCCAGGAACCAUAAUCGGGAACGGAGACCGUAAGUCUUGGGAUCCAUGCAACAUAGAACAAAUUGCGCCAUUCUGACGAUUAUGGCUCCUGAUAAGGCAAGACAUUCCAUGCUUGUGUAUCGUAGGGAUCAUGACUCCAUAUCCGCCUAUGAGAGGUCCUUCCUUUCAUAGCAGUGGCUCGAUUGUAUAUUUUCUUUUUUGUUAACUGACAGACCUCCUCCCUUCACGGUCUUGUUACAUGUAUUGGUACGUGAAGUUAACUCUUAAGGCCUGUUCACUUUAUAACGCGUUCUCCGAUUAGCUUGAGCAAACAAGAAAGCCUAUAUCUACAACUGAUUGCUAAAAAGACCCGCACUUAUUUAAGGUGGCCGAACACAGUUUUCAAGAGCCUCUGCC